AAGAUAUUAGUAAAACUCAUUACAUAACUUUGCCAUAGUUAAAUUAUAGGUUCAAUUCCUAUGUAUCUUA
Molecule: transfer RNA, 70 nt
Filed under: Metachirus nudicaudatus (brown four-eyed opossum)
Lineage: Eukaryota; Metazoa; Chordata; Mammalia; Didelphimorphia; Didelphidae
Description: transfer RNA-Asp
Rfam family: tRNA
About the family: Transfer RNA (tRNA) molecules are approximately 80 nucleotides in length. Their secondary structure includes four short double-helical elements and three loops (D, anti-codon, and T loops). Further hydrogen bonds mediate the characteristic L-shaped molecular structure. tRNAs have two regions of fundamental functional importance: the anti-codon, which is responsible for specific mRNA codon recognition, and the 3' end, to which the tRNAs corresponding amino acid is attached (by aminoacyl-tRNA synthetases). tRNAs cope with the degeneracy of the genetic code in two manners: having more than one tRNA (with a specific anti-codon) for a particular amino acid; and 'wobble' base-pairing, i.e. permitting non-standard base-pairing at the 3rd anti-codon position.
Source: RNAcentral